AGAUGUGGAUGAUGAUAACAAAAGUAAAAUACAGUUAUCCCUGUCUGAUUCCUUCACAAGGGUGCUGAGAAUACUUUGAAACUGACACAUUG
This 92-nucleotide small nucleolar RNA is filed under the name Setaria italica (foxtail millet). RNAcentral describes it as "Small nucleolar RNA R38". It matches the Rfam family "Small nucleolar RNA R38". From Rfam's summary of the family: snoR38 is a C/D box small nucleolar RNA conserved across yeast, human, Arabidopsis and rice. It is encoded in the intron of elongation factor-1 gamma in both pombe and cerevisiae. snoR38 guides the methylation of 2'-O-ribose sites in 28S rRNA. Lineage: Eukaryota; Viridiplantae; Streptophyta; Magnoliopsida; Poales; Poaceae. The record is from Rfam by way of RNAcentral.